Neopelma chrysocephalum (saffron-crested tyrant-manakin) is the source of this 2395-nucleotide long non-coding RNA. RefSeq lists it as uncharacterized. The record is from RefSeq and is a predicted model, not a curated record. The transcript is spliced from 3 exons. NCBI's taxonomy places the organism in Eukaryota, Metazoa, Chordata, Aves, Passeriformes, Pipridae.
GUGGGGAGGCCCUGGCACAGGUUGCCCAGAGAAGCUGUGGCUGCCCCUGGAUCCCUGGAAGUGUCCAAGGAGCAGGGUCAGGAUCAGGGUUACAGCAGGAAGGGGAUCUGUGCUACAGCUCUGGAGAUCUCAGUUCUCUCAUCAGCGGGGGGAAGUUUGCAUGGUGUGGAGGUCUGGAAGAUUCCCAGGACUGAGGCCAAGCCCCUUGUUAUCCAACAAAAUGGGGUGGGAAUGUGCAGCAACACAAGCCAUGGGUGGUGUGUCUUGGGAACACUUUACCUGGGCACAACAGCUUUCCCUGUGAGUCCUUCUGCAGCCACCAAUCCAUUCUGGAUUUUGGGCUCACCCUGCUUCUUCCCUGCCUCCCAUAACCGGUGAUGAAUUGUUUCUGUCCUGCCAGUUCCCAGAGUAUUUGGGAAUAAAAGAGGGCAGUGCUGGAUCAGGGCCAUUCCCUCAUCUCCAACAGCAGCGACAGUAACAGCUCUUGAGAGACAAAGAGCCCACUUAGGCUGUGCUGGAUGGCUUUUCCAACAUUCCCUGCAGUGGAUUUUAUGGCAACAACAACUACUGGAAAGACAAGGCUGAGGCUGUGAAGAGGGAGGAGUGGGGUGGGAGCCAGGCUGAGCUCACCACUGUGCAGGACUGAUAAGCUGGAGCUGAGCACAGAACUCCAGCUCAGCUCCACUCCCCCAUGUCAGAGACACCCCCCUGGUGAAGUCACGAGGUAUUUUUGUCCCCUGAGGUGCCCCAAGGCCCAGCCUGGGUGUUUUCCUUUCAGACAGAUGAAUAUCCCCCGCAAUUUUACCCUUGUCAUCCAAGGCGCUGGAGACACAGAGCUCUUCCAGUUUCCUCACCCCCCUUUGCGUGGCCUUCAGCCCAAAUUCCUUAGGACUAAGCCAUGGCCACGCUGGUUUCCCAUGUGAAGGACUUACAUUUCUGUAGCCACACCACAUUUUAAUUUGCUUUCUCAGCAAAAUUCUUUAUAUGUCACAGGGAGUGGGAUUGGGCUCACGGAGUGUCCCUGCACCUAAACAGGACACCCAGGGCUGCUUUGAGCCCCUGCCUGUGUUUAAUCAGAGGGAUCCCAUCCUGGGCUGCUCCUACUGUAGAUCCAGACAACUAGUCCAGGCAUCAAUGCAGACAUUUGGAUUUAGGAAAGACCAAUCCUGUGAGUCUCAGUUUUAUGACUCUGACGUGGAGAAGGAAAGCUGCAGGUCAGAGGUGUUAAUUGUCACCUUGCACUGAUGAAACGGGGGCAGGGAGGGAAGCAACAGGAAUAACAGGUUUAAAAUAUGUCAGAUGGGAAUUAAAGGGUGAAAGGAGUGGGAUGUGUUACCCUAAAGAGCCGAAAGGAGGGAAUUUGAAGGGACAGGACAUGACAAUCCUCACUUCAUGGAAGAUCAGGGUAAAGACAGCGACGAGCUGUGGGUUUGGGUGAGCUCAGGACCAGCAGAGCUCUGCCAUGUGCAGGCAUGGGAAUAGUCCUGGAGCUCCCUGGGAAUGCCAGGGGACACUGAGAGGUCACCACUCUGAAAUCCCACAGCCCAAUAAAUCCUCUUUGAUCUCCCCUGAGGAAGUUUUGCAGCGCCAGGUUGGGAAGAAGAACUUUGAAGACCUGCCAAAACAUUCCAAGAGCCCCCAGAUGUGGUUCUAGGUGAGAAAAGCAAGACUGUAGGAGCACUUGGCCAAUCCUUGCAAUUCCAGCUAUGAAAAAUAUUCCAACAUCCAGCAGUAAAUGCAGUGCCAGUUUCAGCCAGAAGUGCUGACACUAAGCCAGGCUUUUGCAUCAAGAGGAUUUCACACUUAGUUUACUUCAGCUUAGUCGUGAAUAUAUCAGCCCUUAACAGUGAAUUAAAAAAUUCCCUUUGAUUGUUUCUCCUCAAGUCACGUAGCAAUAACCUAUGUGGAACACUUCAGACUUUAAGGCUUUUAUUUUAAAAUAAUUAAAUAUUUUUUUAAGCAAAAUUAUGUGCAGCCUAAAGCAAAAAAAAAAAAAAUCAAGGGAAAAAGGAAUUUUCUUCCCAGGAUUCUCUUGUGGUCUGAGGUUGUCGGGGUGGGAAGGCCCUGUAAGAUUCCUCCAAGGAGACUCCUGAAUUCUCUGAGUAUCUCCAGAAAAUUACUGGAUAAUUAUAUAGUAAAUGUCAUAUUUACUAAUAUAUAGUAAUGUAAUAUAUAUAUUAAAUAUAUAGUGCAAAACACACAAGGAUGUAACAAAACCAUCCCAGAGCCUGGAAUAGAAGACAUUGGUACUUGCACAGCAACUGUUCCUGUAAGUCCUCAUAUUUCACUCCUUUUGAUCCUUUGUGUGACAAUUACAAGAGCAAAACACAGGAAAAAAACACCCAACUUGUGCCUUUUUAAAAAAUAUACAGAAAUCUUGGAAGAGAGAGGAUUA